UGGUUCUGGCAUCGAUGAAGAACGCAGCGAAAUGCGAUAAGUAAUGUGAAUUGCAGAAUUCAGUGAAUCAUCGAAUCUUUGAACGCACAUUGCGCCCAUUAGUAUUCUAGUGGGCAUGCCUGUUCGAGCGUCAUUACGACCUUUAAGCCUAGUUGCUUAGCGUUGGGAGCAUUACCGUCUGGUAACUCCUCAAAGUCAGUGGCAGGGUUACGGUACACUGUAAGCGUAGUAGAUUUUAUUCUCGCUUGUUGGUUGUCGUAGCUAUCGCCAUAAACCUCUAUUUUUUCUAGUGGUUGACCUCGGAUCAGGUAGGAAUACCCGCUGA
RNAcentral lists this unclassified non-coding RNA (325 nucleotides) under uncultured fungus. RNAcentral describes it as "partial contains 5.8S ribosomal RNA and internal transcribed spacer 2". The stretch from base 1 to 133 matches the Rfam family "5.8S ribosomal RNA", at positions 22 to 154 of the family's 154-position model. Lineage: Eukaryota; Fungi. The record is from RNAcentral.